Long non-coding RNA from Gopherus flavomarginatus (Mexican gopher tortoise), 898 nucleotides. RefSeq lists it as uncharacterized. The transcript is spliced from 2 exons. NCBI's taxonomy places the organism in Eukaryota, Metazoa, Chordata, Testudines, Testudinidae. The record is from RefSeq and is a predicted model, not a curated record.
GGGCCGGUUCUCCUGCCACUUCACGAAGGGAGGCGGGCCCUGGAGCUGCCGCAAGCCCUCCUGCUCCCACCCCCUCCAGCAGCCUGGGGGCUCCGAGGGGUGGGGGCUGCAGCCUGGUGCCCCUGGGGCUGGGAAGUCCCCUCUUGUUCCUGGCAGCAGCCAGACGGGCAGGAGCUGUGCAUCAAAAGGCCACUUGCUAGCCCAGCAACUUCCAGAUUGGCCUUGGUGGUGCCCCAGGGAAGGGCUGGGUGCUGCUCCCAGCUCCUGGUGCCAUGCAGGAACAGCUGACAUGGCCUCUUCUGGCUUGGCUCCUUCCUCCCGUUUCUCUCUGGUUUCUCUCCUUCAGGCGGUCAAUUUUAUUCUCCUUGUUUGUCUUUCUUGCAGAUUCUCCUCACCCCCAUCUUGAUUAUUCUGUUGGGCAUUUAACUUCUCAUUCCCUCCCCCUGCUCCCACACCGCGAAGGCUGAGUUAAGAGCUGCGGGAGCAAUGAAGAGAACCUCAGCAGGCAGGCUGCUGGCUGGGUUGGCAGCCGGUCCAUGUGCGCUGUGGUUACAGCCUGCUGCAUUAGUGGCUGUACUCAGGGAAGCAGGAACAAAGGAGUGUUCUUACACCUGGAAAAGCCUAUAUAAGGCGGAGGCCUCAUCUCCAUUUUGUCUUCAAUCCUGCUUCUUACCUCUGGAGGGACUUUGCUACAAACUGAAGCUCUACACAAAGGACUGAGGACCCAUCCCAGCUGGGGAUAUUCUCCAGAGACUUGAUUUGAACCUGCAGUUUACUCCAUCACUGCUACAAGUCUGAACUAAGAACUUUGCCAUUACUGUAUGUAAUUGAUUCCAUUUAACCAACUCUAGCUCUCAUCUCUAUCUUUUUCCCUUUAUGAAUAAACCUUUAGAUUUUA